This 497-nucleotide ribosomal RNA is filed under the name uncultured Granulicatella sp. Its description in RNAcentral is "bacterial SSU rRNA". It matches the Rfam family "Bacterial small subunit ribosomal RNA", at positions 29 to 507 of the family's 1533-position model. Lineage: Bacteria; Bacillati; Bacillota; Bacilli; Lactobacillales; Carnobacteriaceae. The record is from RNAcentral.
ACGAACGCUGGCGGCGUGCCUAAUACAUGCAAGUCGAACGAGAGCGACCGGUGCUUGCACUGGUCAAUCUAGUGGCGAACGGGUGAGUAACACGUGGGUAACCUGCCCAUCAGAGGGGGAUAACAUUCGGAAACGGAUGCUAAAACCGCAUAGGUCCUUUAACCGCAUGGUUGAAGGAGGAAAAGAGGCGCAAGCUUCUGCUGAUGGAUGGACCCGCGGUGCAUUAGCUAGUUGGUGAGGUAACGGCUCACCAAGGCCGUGAUGCAUAGCCGACCUGAGAGGGUGAUCGGCCACAUUGGGACUGAGACACGGCCCAAACUCCUACGGGAGGCAGCAGUAGGGAAUCUUCCGCAAUGGACGCAAGUCUGACGGAGCAACGCCGCGUGAGUGAAGAAGGUUUUCGGAUCGUAAAACUCUGUUGUUAGAGAAGAACAAGUGCUAGAGUAACUGUUAGCGCCUUGACGGUAUCUAACCAGAAAGCCACGGCUAACUACGUG